AACGAACGCUGGCGGCAUGCCUAACACAUGCAAGUCGAACGAACCCUUCGGGUCUAGUGGCGCACGGGUGCGUAACGCGUGGGAAUCUGCCCUUUGGUUCGGAAUAACUCUCCGAAAUGGGUGCUAAUACCGGAUAAUGUCUUCGGACCAAAGAUUUAUCGCCAUUGGAUGGGCCCGCGUUGGAUUAGCUAGUUGGUAGGGUAAAAGCCUACCAAGGCGACGAUCCUUAGCUGGUCUGAGAGGAUGAUCAGCCACACUGGGACUGGGACACGGCCCAGACUCCUACGGGAGGGAGCAGUGGGGAAUAUUGGACAAUGGACGAAAGCCUGAGCAAGCAAGGCCGCGUGAGUGAUGAAGGCAUUAGGGUUGUAAAGCGCUUUUAACAGGGAUGAUAAUGACAGUACCGGGAGAAUAAGCUCCGGCUAACUCCGUG
RNAcentral lists this ribosomal RNA (433 nucleotides) under uncultured bacterium. Its description in RNAcentral is "partial 16S ribosomal RNA". It matches the Rfam family "Bacterial small subunit ribosomal RNA", at positions 29 to 507 of the family's 1533-position model. The record is from RNAcentral.